CGCCGCAGAGCGGCGCUGCACAUCUUCUUCCCGACGCGCAGUCGGCUCCCGGCCACCAGCCCGGCCACCUGCAAUCUCCAGCUCUCGGCCGCCAGCCCAAACCCUGCUCAUCAGCUUGCGAUUUCCGCCGUGAAACGCCGCCAGAGCCCCGCUGCGCUAGACACGGCAGUCGAGCAGGCAGAGGUUGCCGGAGCAACUCCAGCCCUCGACGCCAUCGAGCGCAGGCUGGCGUCCAUCUCGCCGUCUGACCAGAUCUGCUUGCGACCUCCGCCUUCACGCCAGUCACCAGCACGCACACGAGAAGGAGGCGCGAUUAAAAUCGCCGCCCAGCACCCUGUCAAGUGAAGCUCCGCCGCCCCGCUGUUGCAGAACCAGGCUACAAUUUCCGGCAGAACCGCUGCCCCUCCACGGCGGUCGAGCAAGCAGGAGUCGUCGGAGCGACUCCAGCCCUAAACGCCGAAGGACAGAAGAUUGUUGUUGCUGUCAC
This 487-nucleotide long non-coding RNA is filed under the name Salvia miltiorrhiza (redroot sage). RNAcentral's name for it is "long non-coding RNA (SMIL_LNC010102)". Lineage: Eukaryota; Viridiplantae; Streptophyta; Magnoliopsida; Lamiales; Lamiaceae. The record is from RNAcentral.